This is an RNA transcript of Zingiber officinale, 1234 nucleotides long. RefSeq lists it as uncharacterized. The record is from RefSeq and is a predicted model, not a curated record. The transcript has 2 exons. NCBI's taxonomy places the organism in Eukaryota, Viridiplantae, Streptophyta, Magnoliopsida, Zingiberales, Zingiberaceae.
CUCUGAUAGCCUAGCUAAUCCUCUAUUGAGCAUCUCUUGAGUGAAUUGAAGAAAUGUACUAGUUUCGAGGGACGUCGCGGGAGGUAGAUGGCGCUAGAGGGAGGCCGCAGGCGACGAGGGAGGCAGCGGGAGAGGGAGGCGACGCUGGAUGUCUAGAGGCUAGGGCUUUUGUGCAGAGGCGGCGCUGGAAGGACGCCGCGGAAGGUCAGCCCGCGAUGGCUGCUGGAGGGACACAACGUAGGAGGGAGAGGGAGGUCGCAGGCGACGAAGGAGAUAGCGAGAGAGAGAGGCGGCGUUGGAUGCUGAGAGGCUAGGGCUUUUGUGCGGAGGCGGCACUGGAAGGAGGCCGCUAGAGGUCAGCAAUGUCGGAGGGAGGGGGCGUUGGAUGUCGAGAGGGUAGGCCUUUUGUGCGGAGGCGGCGUUGGAAGGAGGCUGUUGGAGGUCGACAACCUCGGAGGGAGGGGGAGGCCGCAGGCGACGGUGGAGGGAGGAGAGUUCAAGAGGCUAGGGCUUUUGGCGUUGGCGCGUGUACAUGUUUGUCACGUGAGGGGUCCAGGGGUGGACCAGGAAAAAUGAGUCCAGAAGAUCCGCCCCUCUCGACGCGAACCAGAGGAUCUGUCCUCCUCUCGACGUUGCCGCCGCCAUCCUUCUGGGUUGCCGCCAUCCUUCGGAGCUGCCUGCCGGACGUCGACCCUCACCUCGAGUAGAUCCCUCACCCAUGGGAAGCCCAUACCAGACGCUUGAUGAGGUUCGAAUUCGACGUCGAUGCGUAUAUGUUGAAAUGAUUGCUUCGUCUGUAUUCACAAUGCGGUUGCUUGGAAGCCGCUCGAUCGUUGUUCGACAAAAUGCCUCAGCGCGAUAAUGUCUCGUGGACGACCCUCAUGUCAGCGUAUGCAUGUACAGAUCGUGCGGAAGAAUCCUUGAUAUUGUUCUGCGAGAUGGUGACGGAUGGAGCUCGCCAAACGCUGUUGCUCUUGCCUCCUGUCUGAAAUCUUAUUCAGUUUGUGGAGACUUGGAUUUCGGGCAGCAGUUGCACGGGAUUGUUAGACGAGGUCUGUCAAUUCAUUGUUUUGUGAUCAAGAGUGGGUUGGAACAAGAUGGGUUCUUAAGUAGUAGUCCAGUGGAUAUGUACGCCAAAUAUGGUUUGUCUAUGUAAGCUCAUAAGGUCUUCAUUAGAACUAUUGAUCCUGAUAUUAUUGUCUGGAGUGCGAUUAUAUCAUGCUUUACUCAGCUA